Molecule: ribosomal RNA, 439 nt
Filed under: uncultured bacterium
Lineage: Bacteria
Description: partial 16S ribosomal RNA
Rfam family: Bacterial small subunit ribosomal RNA
Source: RNAcentral
CUACGGGCCGCUGCAGUGAGGAAUAUUGCACAAUGGAGGAAACUCUGAUGCAGCAACGCCGCGUGGAGGAUGACACUUUUCGGAGCGUAAACUCCUUUUAUAUAGGAAGAAGAUGACGGUACUAUAUGAAUAAGCGCCGGCUAACUCCGUGCCAGCAGCCGCGGUAAUACGGAGGGCGCAAGCGUUACUCGGAAUCACUGGGCGUAAAGAGCGUGUAGGCGGAUUAAAAAGUCAGAAGUGAAAUCCUAUAGCUUAACUAUAGAACUGCUUCUGAAACUCUUAAUCUAGAAUAUGGGAGAGGUAGAUGGAAUUUCUGGUGUAGGGGUAAAAUCCGUAGAGAUCAGAAGGAAUACCGAUUGCGAAGGCGAUCUACUAGAACAUUAUUGACGCUGAGACGCGAAAGCGUGGGGAGCAAACAGGAUUAGAUACCCGCGUAGUC